RNAcentral lists this long non-coding RNA (321 nucleotides) under Vigna radiata. RNAcentral describes it as "long non-coding RNA (VRAD_LNC005711)". The record is from RNAcentral. Lineage: Eukaryota; Viridiplantae; Streptophyta; Magnoliopsida; Fabales; Fabaceae.
UUUAUGUAAAGAUCAUAGGGCCACUACAUGAUUCUGGUCUGACUCCAAUUGGUCCCUCUCUUUUAAUACAAUGUGUCCCUUUGCAGCUUUCUAAUGCAUUCUGCUCUGUUAAGCACUCGACUUAUCCAUCUCAAUCAUCUCUAAAAUCCAUCUUAAAUAAACAAACAAAAACACUGUUUUUAUUUUAAUGCAAUCAUCAUGGAAUUUAGGACUUAGGACCCAAAUGUUCAUGUAAUCUAAAUGCUCUUUUCUGCCCUUUUUUUUCUUUCAUUCUCACCAAUCACAGAUCUACUGUUUCACUGCUUCACAGACUCAAUUCCA